Molecule: ribosomal RNA, 493 nt
Filed under: uncultured bacterium
Lineage: Bacteria
Description: bacterial SSU rRNA
Rfam family: Bacterial small subunit ribosomal RNA
Source: RNAcentral
GAUGAACGCUAGCGGCAGGCCUAAUACAUGCAAGCCGGACGGCAAGUUGAGUAGCAAUACUUGACCUAGAGUGGCGUAAGGGUGCGUAACACGUAUGCAAUCUGCCCACGGCCGGGAGAUAGCCCUCCGAAAGGAGGAUUAAUAUCCCAUAGGAAGAUGAGAUGGCAUCAUUUUAUUUUUAAACUACGGGGCUGUGGAUGAGCAUGCGGUUGAUUAGCUAGUUGGCGGGGUAAAGGCCACCAAGGCGAUGAUCAAUAGGGGACCUGAGAGGGUGAUCCCCACACUGGCACUGAGAUACGGGCCAGACUCCUACGGGAGGCAGCAGUAGGGAAUAUUGGACAAUGGGUGUAAGCCUGAUCCAGCCAUGCCGCGUGCAGGAAAGAAGGCCUUCUGGGUUGUAAACUGCUUUGCCGGGGGAUAAAAGAUCCAUGCGUGGAGAAUUGAAGGUACCCGGUGAAUAAGCCACGGCUAACUACGUGCCAGCAGCCGCGGU